RNAcentral lists this transfer RNA (66 nucleotides) under Sialis jiyuni. Its description in RNAcentral is "tRNA-Tyr". Lineage: Eukaryota; Metazoa; Arthropoda; Insecta; Megaloptera; Sialidae. The record is from RNAcentral.
AGUAAAAUGACUGAAAUUUAGGUAAUAAACUGUAAAUUUAUUUAUGAGAUAAAAUCUCUUUUACUA